AACUUGGGACCAGUACUAUAUCCGUUACUGUUGUCGUGUUGUAAGUCCAAACUUGUUUCAACUUGUUCGUUUCUUGGAAACUUUGCAAAAGAUGCGUUAAUUGACGCCUUUAAAAUCUGCGAGCGUAAGAAAGACGACGACGCAUUAUCAUAUACCCAACACUAUUGUUAAAAAUUGGAUCAGGGAUUUGUUAUCACUAUGAAGUAGAACAUAUGAGGUUUAGGUAAAAUCAACCCAAGCCCUAGUGUUUUGAUGUGUAUUGUGACUUUUCGCCCCCACCUCUUUUUCUGACAAAUGCAUUGAAUAAAUUAUUACCGCUGCUCGCAUUGUCUUCUAAUAAUUAGUCAUGCACGGGACUGAAUAGUAGUAUUUUGUCAGUAGUAAACGAACAGUGCACCACGGGCAUAUUUGGCAAGAUUUAAUUAACCUCAGGCAACACGUCGAUGGAACACGUAAAAGCACUUACAUGUUUUUAUGGAUUCAUUCAACUGUUCUUUUACCACUGGCUUACCCAUUUGGCCCAUCAUUGCAUACUCUUAGUGGCUUAGUCUUUAGUUGAUGUCAGCAGACUUGAAACUGUUGGUAGGUCAGUUAAGAUGGUACAAGUGCCUCACGACCUCCGCGGUCUGAGACAUAACUUGUAUAGGUCUAUGGACCAUAAGGAGGCCGUCUAAGUCUAGGCGGACUAGCACGACAUACAUGCCCACGCAGGGUCUCCGCGACCAAACGUGUUACGGAAAAGUAUAGGCCAGAUGUUGAAACCAGCUCGAAUGGAAGACAGCUCGUCUUGUAUAUUAAAAUUUGAAGGUGAUAUUCGGCAAAGUCGGUGUGACGCGACCUCAUAUACAUUACAGACAAAUAGGUACUCUUGUUUCUGUACGUUUGCAUUUAGAAUGAAAACAUUUAAUUAUAAUUGUUCAGUCAACAUAAGAACCAGUGACUCACAGUCCAAUAUGAUUCGGAUUUUUUUUUUUUCCGUAGGUACUUUCAUUUUUCCGGGGUGUUGUAUAACCAUUAAAAUAUUGUAUAAGCCAGACUGCAAAACAUUCUUUGAAACAAGUCAGUCGUAAUUAA
This is a long non-coding RNA of Papilio polytes (common Mormon), 1074 nucleotides long. RefSeq lists it as uncharacterized. The record is from RefSeq and is a predicted model, not a curated record. The transcript has 2 exons. Lineage: Eukaryota; Metazoa; Arthropoda; Insecta; Lepidoptera; Papilionidae.